CCUACGGGAGGCAGCAGUGGGGAAUCUUGCGCAAUGGCCGAGAGGCUGACGCAGCGACGCCGCGUGGGGGAUGAAGCAUUUCGGUGUGUAAACCCCUGUUGCUCGGGACGAACGACCGGUUUCGACCGGUGUGACGGUGCCGAGUGAGGAAGCACCGGCUAACUCCGUGCCAGCAGCCGCGGUAAUACGGAGGGUGCGAGCGUUGUCCGGAAUCACUGGGCGUAAAGGGCGCGUAGGUGGUUAGAUGCGCCGGUGGUGAAAGCGCAGGGCUCAACCCUGCGUCGGCCAUCGGGACGGUCUGACUGGAGCACUGUAGAGGCAGGUGGAAUUCCGGGUGUAGCGGUGGAAUGCGUAGAGAUCCGGAAGAACACCGGUGGCGAAGGCGGCCUGCUGGGCAGUUGCUGACACUGAGGCGCGACAGCGUGGGGAGCAAACAGGAUUAGAUACCCUGGUAGUCCACGCCGUAAACGAUGGGCACUAGGUGCUUGGGGGAGCGACCCCCUGAGUGCCGACGCUAACGCAUUAAGUGCCCGCCUGGGGAGUACGACCGCAAGGUUGAAACUUCAAGGAAUUGACGG
RNAcentral lists this ribosomal RNA (578 nucleotides) under uncultured bacterium. RNAcentral's name for it is "bacterial SSU rRNA". It matches the Rfam family "Bacterial small subunit ribosomal RNA", at positions 338 to 916 of the family's 1533-position model. The record is from RNAcentral.